This 66-nucleotide transfer RNA is filed under the name Oecleopsis sinicus. RNAcentral's name for it is "tRNA-Pro". The record is from RNAcentral. Lineage: Eukaryota; Metazoa; Arthropoda; Insecta; Hemiptera; Cixiidae.
CAGUAGGUAGUUUAAUUAAUUAAAAUAUUAGUUUUGGAGACUAAAGAUGAUAAUCUUCUUUACUGA